UGGGGAAUAUUGGACAAUGGGCGAAAGCAUGAUCCAGCCAUGCCGCGUGUGUGAAGAAGGUCUUCGGAUUGUAAAGCACUUUAAGUUGGGAGGAAGGGCAGUAAGCGAAUACCUUGCUGUUUUGACGUUACCGACAGAAUAAGCACCGGCUAACUCUGUGCCAGCAGCCGCGGUAAUACAGAGGGUGCAAGCGUUAAUCGGAAUUACUGGGCGUAAAGCGCGCGUAGGUGGUUCGUUAAGUUGAAUGUGAAAGCCCCGGGCUCAACCUGGGAACUGCAUCCAAAACUGGCGAGCUAGAGUAGGGCAGAGGGUGGUGGAAUUUACUGUGUAGCGGUGAAAUGCGUAGAUAUAGGAAGGAACACCAGUGGCGAAGGCGACCACCUGGGCUCAUACUGACACUGAGGUGCGAAAGCGUGGGGAGCAAACAGG
RNAcentral lists this ribosomal RNA (429 nucleotides) under Pseudomonadota bacterium. RNAcentral's name for it is "Proteobacteria bacterium partial 16S ribosomal RNA". It matches the Rfam family "Bacterial small subunit ribosomal RNA", at positions 355 to 776 of the family's 1533-position model. Lineage: Bacteria; Pseudomonadati; Pseudomonadota. The record is from RNAcentral.